ACUAAAUAAACAUAUAUUAGGGUUCAAAAUAUGCACAGCCAAAAUGAAAGUCACAUUCUGGUUCAUUAAAUCUGAAAAGACUUCACACAUUUUAAACCUGUAAUCGUAUUCAGAGAGGCAGCACCCCAUCCCCAACCUGUCCCCCACCCCCUCCUGCAGAUUUCACACCUUGGGAAUGGCUAUUGUACCAAAAAAAAAACCAAAAAAAAAAAAAAAAAACCAAAAAAAAACCAAAAAAAAAAAGAAAAGGAGCAGGGGAAGGUUUGCUGCUGCAGGGCACGGACAGGAAAAUCAGUGUUUGCUGUGGCAUCUCUGUCGUGGCAGCACUGAGCUGGGUUCAGGUGUUUGAGGAGGAGGAAGAGAAGAGGAGAGGAGGAAGCACAAAAUCUCAGCUCAGCUCUUCUUCCCCACCCUGCUCCCGCCCGACCCGGGGUCUCUCGCUGAGUUCCCCCCCACAGCUUCCAGGCUUCUCCCCCUCCCCUGGAGGGUGUGAUGUUACCAGGGAGCUGAGCUGCAGAACAUAUGGAAACGUCAUGCGUGUAUAUAUAGAAGAGGAGCGAAAAUGGAUGCUCUUGGAGCGGCACAGUCAGAGAGGAGGAUGUUGUGACUGCAUGCCAGCAGAUAUUUCUAAGGAGACAUUUUGAAAAUCUGAAGGGAACGGUGUAAACGUUUUCAAGAUGUUGGGGCUUGUUCUGGGAUACCUCAGUGCUUUCUUCUGGCUUUAGGUAAAAUGAGAUCAAAAUUCAAAUGUUUCUGCUAUGCACCAGCAGCUUCAUGCACCCGUUUAUUUCUUUUAGCAUAUUGUCCUUCUGAUUUUUUUCCUUUUAAAAGAACCAAUAUCUACUGCCCCAGUGUGUUUGUGUGUUAUUCAACAGGGUGCCAGCUCCCUGUAUUCUCCUUUUCCAGGGAAGCAAUCCCAAAGAAUUUGAUGCAGUGACUCAAGAAAGCAAGAAAGCUCAGUAUUAGGUGCCUUACACAGAAACCUGGAUAUCAUAUCAGGCUUUCCGUGCCUGGAUAUCUUGAUCAGUUUAAGCUGAUUAGAAAAGCUCCUCGGUUCAUUCUUGG
This 1065-nucleotide long non-coding RNA is filed under the name Cyanistes caeruleus (blue tit). Its description in RNAcentral is "lncRNA (ENSCCEG00000007337.1)". The record is from RNAcentral. Lineage: Eukaryota; Metazoa; Chordata; Aves; Passeriformes; Paridae.